GACGAACGCUGGCGGCGCGCCUAACACAUGCAAGUCGAGGGAGAGCCGGCCUUCGGGCCGGGGAGACCGGCGAACGGGUGAGUAACACGUGAGGAACCUGCCCUGUAGACCGGAAUAACCACGGGAAACUGUGGCUAAUGCCGGAUGAUCUCGGAUGACCACAUGGAUGUUCGAGGAAAUGGUCUGCCGCUACAGGAUGGCCUCGCGGCCUAUCAGCUAGUUGGUGAGGUAACGGCUCACCAAGGCGA
Molecule: ribosomal RNA, 248 nt
Filed under: uncultured Actinomycetes bacterium
Lineage: Bacteria; Bacillati; Actinomycetota; Actinomycetes
Description: uncultured actinobacterium partial 16S ribosomal RNA
Rfam family: Bacterial small subunit ribosomal RNA
Source: RNAcentral